UUCCGCCAAAAAAAAUCACCUCAAGACCGCAACAGGGCAUACUUCACUGAAUUCCAAACUGAUUGUUGAUGUGAUCAUUUGGAUUGGAAAAGUCCAAACAGUUCAUCUGCCCCAUCCCUGGUCAUUUGGCUACUGGCUGUCUUGGAUGCUGGACCCUAAUAUUCUAAGGUCUUCUUCCAGCUCUCACAAACCAUUUUCAGUCCAGCUUAUGAAGACUGCCCUGCUCUCCCCAGAAAGCCUCAUUAAAUACUGACUUUUGGGAACGAUCCACUGGGAACGAUAUGGAGAUUGAAAUCAUGGAAAGAGACUGACAAACAGCUUCCAUUGCUCCACCCCACUGCAGUCCUCCCUCCCUGAGCAAGAAGGAUUUUUCUUGUACACAAACCAAGUCGUGGGGAACCGUGCACCUUAAAGAAUCCAGGAGAUCCCAGGUCAGAAAUCAUUUCCUUAAGAAGUAUUCUGGAUCUCCAGUUGAUACCAGCUCUUAGAGAACCAGAUCUUUCUCCUUUGGAUCACUUAUGCGGAUUUUCAUCUACCUUGACUUAGAUACGUGCUUCUUCUGAACUUGUAAUCUGAGGUAUCAGAGUCCAUGCAGCAAACCAAUGGCAAGUUCAAAGUGAAGGAAGUCUACAUUUGUU
Molecule: long non-coding RNA, 638 nt
Organism: Balaenoptera acutorostrata (minke whale)
Lineage: Eukaryota; Metazoa; Chordata; Mammalia; Artiodactyla; Balaenopteridae
Exons: 6
Source: RefSeq, a predicted model, not a curated record